GUCAGGCGUUCCCUAUACAGCCCCCCUCGAUGAACUUGCUGUAUUUUCCUUAUAUGAUCAGGUCUCCGCUUGCCCGGAACCUGAGAGGAUUAUGAAAAUGUGUCUGGCGAAGUGGGGUCUGGGGACCGGG
Manis pentadactyla (Chinese pangolin) is the source of this 130-nucleotide non-coding RNA. RefSeq annotates it as small Cajal body-specific RNA 17. The record is from RefSeq and is a predicted model, not a curated record. The transcript has a single exon. Lineage: Eukaryota; Metazoa; Chordata; Mammalia; Pholidota; Manidae.